RNAcentral lists this ribosomal RNA (254 nucleotides) under uncultured bacterium. RNAcentral describes it as "partial 16S ribosomal RNA". It matches the Rfam family "Bacterial small subunit ribosomal RNA", at positions 524 to 776 of the family's 1533-position model. The record is from RNAcentral.
UACGUAGGUGGCGAGCGUUGUCCGGAUUUAUUGGGCGUAAAGCGCGCGCAGGCGGUCGCGUAAGUCUGCUGUGAAAUCUCCCUGGCUCAACCGGGAGGGGGCGGCGGAGACUGCGGGACUGGAGGGACCUAGAGGCCGGUGGAAUUCCUGGUGUAGCGGUGAAAUGCGCAGAUAUCAGGAGGAACACCGAUGGCGAAGGCAGUGGGCUGGGCCGGCACUGACGCUGAGGAGCGAAAGCGUGGGGAGCGAACAGG